Unclassified non-coding RNA from Ictidomys tridecemlineatus (thirteen-lined ground squirrel), 239 nucleotides. Its record names the gene 7SK. It matches the Rfam family "7SK RNA". From Rfam's summary of the family: 7SK was discovered as an abundant small nuclear RNA in the mid-70s but a possible function has only recently been suggested. NCBI's taxonomy places the organism in Eukaryota, Metazoa, Chordata, Mammalia, Rodentia, Sciuridae. The record is from Ensembl.
GGAUGUGAGGGCCAUCUGGUGUCCCCUUCCUCCCUCACCGCUCCAUGUGCGUCCCUCCCGAAGCUGCGUGCUCGGUCGAAGAGGAUGACCUUCCCCGAUAGAGGAGGACCCGUCUUCGGUCAAGUGUAUAGGAGUACCUGCGCUCCCCUGCUAGAACCUCCAAACAAGCUCUCAAGAAGGCAGUAAUUUGUUCUUACUAAUAAACACUUAUUCUAGAAAAAAAAAAAAAAAAAGAAUUA